Molecule: ribosomal RNA, 560 nt
Filed under: uncultured bacterium
Lineage: Bacteria
Description: bacterial SSU rRNA
Rfam family: Bacterial small subunit ribosomal RNA
Source: RNAcentral
CCUACGGGAGGCAGCAGUGGGGAAUAUUGGACAAUGGGCGCAAGCCUGAUCCAGCAAUGCCGCGUGAGUGAUGAAGGCCUUAGGGUCGUAAAGCUCUUUUACCAGGGAUGAUAAUGACAGUACCUGGAGAAUAAGCUCCGGCUAACUCCGUGCCAGCAGCCGCGGUAAUACGGAGGGAGCUAGCGUUGUUCGGAAUUACUGGGCGUAAAGCGUACGUAGGCGGUUAUUCAAGUCAGAGGUGAAAGCCCGGGGCUCAACCCCGGAACGGCCUUUGAAACUAGGUAGCUAGAAUCUUGGAGAGGUCAGUGGAAUUCCGAGUGUAGAGGUGAAAUUCGUAGAUAUUCGGAAGAACACCAGUGGCGAAGGCGACUGACUGGACAAGUAUUGACGCUGAGGUACGAAAGCGUGGGGAGCAAACAGGAUUAGAUACCCUGGUAGUCCACGCCGUAAACGAUGAUAACUAGCUGUUCGGGCACUUGGUGCUUGAGUGGCGCAGCUAACGCAUUAAGUUAUCCGCCUGGGGAGUACGGUGCAAGNUUAAAACUCAAAGGAAUUGACGG